CUACGGGGGGCUCCAGUAGGGAAUCUUAGACAAUGGGGGAAACCCUGAUCUAGCCAUGCCGCGUGAGUGAUGAAGGCCUUAGGGUUGUAAAGCUCUUUCGCUGGGGAAGAUAAUGACGGUACCCAGUAAAGAAACCCCGGCUAACUCCGUGCCAGCAGCGCGCGGUGAAUACGGAGGGGGUUAGCGUUGUUCGGAAUUACUGGGCGUAAAGCGCGCGUAGGCGGGCUAUUAAGUCAGGGGUAAAAUCCCGGGGCUCAACCCCGGAACUGCCUUUGAUACUGGUAGUCUUGAGUUCGAGAGAGGUGAGUGGAAUUCCGAGUGUAGAGGUGAAAUUCGUAGAUAUUCGGAGGAACAUCAGUGGCGAAGGCGACUCACUGGCUCGAUACUGACGCUGAGGUGCGAAAGUGUGGGGAGCAAACAGGGUUAGAUACCCGCGUAGUC
Molecule: ribosomal RNA, 441 nt
Filed under: uncultured bacterium
Lineage: Bacteria
Description: partial 16S ribosomal RNA
Rfam family: Bacterial small subunit ribosomal RNA
Source: RNAcentral